GAAAACUUGAUACGUCGAGGGGUUGAUUUCGUCCGGUUAUCCGUUUAAGGGGCACCUUUUCCAAAGCACAAAACGCAGCUUCCGUUCUACGGACGGGAUCACAACGUCAGAAAAGCACGACACAGACGCAACUACGAACUGCGACAUGC
Molecule: long non-coding RNA, 149 nt
Organism: Diprion similis
Lineage: Eukaryota; Metazoa; Arthropoda; Insecta; Hymenoptera; Diprionidae
Exons: 3
Source: RefSeq, a predicted model, not a curated record